Long non-coding RNA from Stylophora pistillata, 964 nucleotides. RefSeq lists it as uncharacterized. Lineage: Eukaryota; Metazoa; Cnidaria; Anthozoa; Scleractinia; Pocilloporidae. The record is from RefSeq and is a predicted model, not a curated record.
GCUGAUGGGAUAGUAGCCACAGGAAGUCCGAUACAAUAUUUCAUGCUGGCGGCCGAGUUGAAUUCUAGUGGAAAAUUGUGACGUGGAAUGGUGCGAGUAUUCGUGGAUUUUAAUAAGAAAUGAACUGGAAUUUCCAAAGUUUUUGCUGAAAAUGUACUUCAGUUGGCUUUGACAUGAACUAUUCUGCAUUUUUUUUUCAAGCUUACACCAACAACAACAACACCUCACAGUCAGUGUUUGUCAUAAUGCCCUAUGAGGUCAUUUGCAUUAGAAAUAUUUUAUCAGGCUUCCUGUGGCUAAUAUCGCAUCAGCCUUUUCGAACUGAAUGAGAAAAUGGUGGAAGGAUGUAAAGAGUUUGUUUAACAAGUUAAAAUCAAGUAUAUGGAGACAAAUUCAAUCGGAAAUCACUUUUAUGGAUCAUUCUUGGGUCAUUCUUGGUCAUUCCAGCUCGUUCUGGUUCAUUCCAGCUCAUUCCGGCUCAUUCCAGCUCGUUCUGGUUCAUUCCAGCUCAUUCCGGCUCAUUCCAGCUCUUUCCAGAAGACAGUACAUCACAGUAGACAAUAAGCUUCAAAACAGAGAAAUUAAGACACUUCCCUUUUGGGUUCAUCAGCAAGGCCACAGCUAGUGAACUCAAAGUGGGGUGGAAAUUCACCCUCAUCACAGCCAAGAAGCAAUGGAAUAAUUCUUGAAUGAGGGGAUCCAUCUAAGGAUUAGAAGAAAAGUGAGCAGAAGCAAAAGUAAACUUUGCGGUUUUGGUGAUAUUAACAGCAAACGUAAUUUUUUAAUUUGUAAUAUAGCGGACCUGCCAAAUUAAAGCUUCCCAUGUGAACAUCGAUAUCUGCAGAUUGUAAGACAUCAUUUCAAAUGUGCAACGCGGGCGCGGGCUUAGCUUUUGCAUGUUAAACUGAAUCAUCAUUUGCUUCGAGCGAAAUACAUUAAAAUACAAACGCAAAAUUGCGCUGAA